UAAGAUUAAUCUCAUUAUUAAAAUGACAGAGUGCGAGAAAAGCUUAUCUCUACCAACCAGGAAACUGAAGAUGACAUCCGUGUGACUUCGGUUGUUUGAGGAACAACCAUUGGUUUGUGAUGCAUCACGCCAACAGAUGCAGGCUAUAAAAGAGGCACUGGUUUCACAUCCUCUCCAACCACUGGGACACCCUCAGCUUCUACAGAAGAAGAGACAGCGAGAUGAAGGUUCUGCUGCUCAGCGUUGUCCUUGGUCUGCUUUAUGCAGGCCACGGUGAAGCUCAGCCAAUUCUCAAACCGUUUUCAGGGGAAUGGAAAACCCAUUACAUCGCAGCCAGUAACAAAGACAAGAUCACUGAGGGCGGGCCAUUCCACGCGUACGUACGUCAUCUUGAGUUUCAUGCAAAUAACACAGUUCACCUCGACUUUUAUGUCAAGUCAGACGGAGAAUGUGUAAAAAACAAGUCACAGGAGUAAGGCAAAGACUUUUUGUUUAUCAUGUUGAUUAUGCGGGUGAAAACGAAGUUACAAUUCUUCAUCUGUCACCUGACGCUAUAAUAGGAUCUAUUCACAAUGUGGAUGAAGAAGGAAAAGAGACAGACUUCGUUGCAAUACUCAGCAAACGUGACCGGAUUUCAUACCUAGUCCAUCGGAGGUUCAAAAGGGAGACGCGUAAAAGAGGCAUUCCAGAAGAAAAUAUCGUGAAUUUCUCUGAUAAUGAUGACUGUCCAGAGGAGUGAAUAAAAUUUACUUCCACACUUUUUAGUCACUGAGACCAGGCACAUCCUCUUCUGCAUGGAAUCAAGAUCAACAACACAAAGAUGACUUUCCUGCUUCCUGAUUAACAGGAUCCUUCUCUCUUCACACACACUCUCUUUCCCGUCUCAUUUCUCCUGGUCACUGGUCAUGUGCUGUCUGGUCGUGUUUGAUUUCUGAAGGCUUAAAUAAAUUGAUUUAAUAUCUGCCCUGCA
RNAcentral lists this long non-coding RNA (970 nucleotides) under Bos indicus x Bos taurus (hybrid cattle). Its description in RNAcentral is "lncRNA (ENSBIXG00000029622.1)". The record is from RNAcentral. Lineage: Eukaryota; Metazoa; Chordata; Mammalia; Artiodactyla; Bovidae.